RNAcentral lists this long non-coding RNA (340 nucleotides) under Nicotiana benthamiana. Its description in RNAcentral is "long non-coding RNA (NBEN_LNC013056)". The record is from RNAcentral. Lineage: Eukaryota; Viridiplantae; Streptophyta; Magnoliopsida; Solanales; Solanaceae.
GUAAGAACUUCCUAACUGGAAAAGCCCUGAUAUCAUGGCAUUGAAUUUGGUCACAGACAUUGUGUUUUCAAAUAAAAGGUAGGGUACAAUAAAAGGGAAUGACUGUGGAGCUGGAAGAAUAUUGAGGAUGGACAUGAGUCCAGGCACAUAGCACACGACCCAAGCUGGUAACUGAGCUUCUGGGAGGAACAUGGGAUAUUGAGGAUGGACAUAAGUCCAGGCACAUAGCACACGACCCAAGCUGGUAACUGAGCUUCUGGGAGGAACAUGGUGAGUGGGAGAAUGAUACAAAAGAGAGUAAAUGAAUAAAAUGGUAGGAUGAGCUUCCGCAAGAGGAAAA